This 85-nucleotide transfer RNA is filed under the name Felis catus (domestic cat). It matches the Rfam family "tRNA". Rfam says of the family: Transfer RNA (tRNA) molecules are approximately 80 nucleotides in length. Their secondary structure includes four short double-helical elements and three loops (D, anti-codon, and T loops). Further hydrogen bonds mediate the characteristic L-shaped molecular structure. tRNAs have two regions of fundamental functional importance: the anti-codon, which is responsible for specific mRNA codon recognition, and the 3' end, to which the tRNAs corresponding amino acid is attached (by aminoacyl-tRNA synthetases). tRNAs cope with the degeneracy of the genetic code in two manners: having more than one tRNA (with a specific anti-codon) for a particular amino acid; and 'wobble' base-pairing, i.e. permitting non-standard base-pairing at the 3rd anti-codon position. Lineage: Eukaryota; Metazoa; Chordata; Mammalia; Carnivora; Felidae. The record is from Rfam by way of RNAcentral.
GUCUGGUUGGCUCAGUCGGUUGAGUGUCUGACUUUGGCUCAGGUCAUGAUCUCGCGGUCCGUGAGUUCGAGCCCCGCGUCAGGCU